UACGUAGGCAGCGAGCGUUGUUCGGAAUUACUGGGCGUAAAGCGUGUGUAGGCGGUGCUCCCAGUCUGUUGUGAAAUCUCCCGGCUUAACUGGGAGGGUGCAGCGGAAACUAGAGUGCUAGAGGGUGGGAGAGGUAAGCGGAAUUCCUGGUGUAGCGGUGAAAUGCGUAGAUAUCAGGAGGAACACCUGUGGUGUAGACAGCUUACUGGACCGCUUCUGACGCUGAGACACGAAAGCGUGGGUAGCAAACAGG
This 253-nucleotide ribosomal RNA is filed under the name uncultured bacterium. RNAcentral's name for it is "partial 16S ribosomal RNA". It matches the Rfam family "Bacterial small subunit ribosomal RNA", at positions 524 to 776 of the family's 1533-position model. The record is from RNAcentral.